CACAGAUCCUCAAGUCUCAAGAUGGAUCACCUUUUUUAAAGACUCCAAGUGAAGGUUUAACUGAUGAAGAUCUGUCCCAUAUACUUUCAUCAAAGAACUAUGAUAAAACAUUCACAACAAUGUUAUGGCAUGAAGAAAUUAAAGAUGCACAGUCUGUUGGAAAAUUGCUUCAAGGGAAUGAAAUGUCUGCAGCAUCAUUUAUCUCACCCUCUGUUAAAAGAAGGAUGCUGGGUACUGACAUCUCAAAGGCUGAUAUUAUAGAAGAGAAUUUACAAACUAAGAUUGAAAAACAAACUUACAAAGAAGCAAGAGAAUUUCAAGAAUUAGAUGAAAAUCCUCUGCUUAAGAAUGAAACACCAUCAGAAACUGAAACUCGGUUGUUGUAUCAGGGAACUACUAGAACAAAUAGACGCAAUGGUAAGAAUUAUAGACAUCUUUAAAUUAUUUGGGCUUCCCUUGUGGCUUAGCUGGUAAAGAAUUAGCCUGCAAUGCAGGAGAGCUGGGUUCAAUCCCUGGG
Molecule: long non-coding RNA, 517 nt
Filed under: Cervus hanglu yarkandensis (Yarkand deer)
Lineage: Eukaryota; Metazoa; Chordata; Mammalia; Artiodactyla; Cervidae
Description: lncRNA (ENSCHYG00000027064.1)
Source: RNAcentral